GAUGAACGCUGGCGGCGUGCCUAAUACAUGCAAGUCGAGCGAACAGACGAGGAGCUGUACCCUAGCAGCUAACGGGGGAGUGGCACGUUAAAAACCGGCCACCUACCUUUUAAUACCGGUCUAACUCGGGGAAUCCGACCCAAUACCCGACAAAUUCUCUGAACGGCUGGGUUCAAAGGUUAAGGAGGUUUUUGUGGCUCCUUAUCGAUGAACCCGUGCCGCAUUAGCUGGUUGUAAAGGUAACGGCUUCCCAAGGCAACGUGGGGUAGCCGACCUGAGAGAGUGAUCGGCCACACUGGAACUGAGACACGGUCCAGACUCCUACGGGAGGCAGCAGUAGGGAAUCUUCCGCAAUGGGCGAAAGCCUGACGGAGCAACGCCGCGUGAGAGAUGAAGGUCUUCGGAUCGUAAAACUCUGUUAUUAGGGAAGAACAAAUGUGUAAGGAACUAUGCACGUCUUGACGGUACCUAAUCAGAAAGCCACGGCUAACUACGUG
This 497-nucleotide ribosomal RNA is filed under the name uncultured bacterium. Its description in RNAcentral is "partial 16S ribosomal RNA". It matches the Rfam family "Bacterial small subunit ribosomal RNA", at positions 28 to 507 of the family's 1533-position model. The record is from RNAcentral.